AGUGAACGCUGGCGGUAGGCCUAACACAUGCAAGUCGAACGGCAGCACAGUAAGAGCUUGCUCUUACGGGUGGCGAGUGGCGGACGGGUGAGGAAUACAUCGGAAUCUACUUUUUCGUGGGGGGUAACGUAGGGAAACUUACGCUAAUACCGCAUACGACCUACGGGUGAAAGCAGGGGAUCUUCGGACCUUGCGCGAUUGAAUGAGCCGAUGUCGGAUUAGCUAGUUGGCGGGGUAAAGGCCCACCAAGGCGACGAUCCGUAGCUGGUCUGAGAGGAUGAUCAGCCACACUGGAACUGAGACACGGUCCAGACUCCUACGGGAGGCAGCAGUGGGGAAUAUUGGACAAUGGGCGCAAGCCUGAUUCAGCCAUACCGCGUGGGUGAAGAAGGCCUUCGGGUUGUAAAGCCCUUUUGUUGGGAAAGAAAAGCAGCAGGUUAAUACCCCGCUGUUCUGACGGUACCCAAAGAAUAAGCACCGGCUAACUUCGUG
RNAcentral lists this ribosomal RNA (492 nucleotides) under uncultured bacterium. RNAcentral describes it as "partial 16S ribosomal RNA". It matches the Rfam family "Bacterial small subunit ribosomal RNA", at positions 29 to 507 of the family's 1533-position model. The record is from RNAcentral.